CUCCCUGUCUCUUAGCUCUGACUGAGACAUUACACUCCCUGGUUGUCCAGUGGCAAUGUGCAAGCUGCAUAUUUAGUGGAGACAGGACCCAGCACACACAAAUUUAAGCUUCUGGCAGCGCCUCUCUCUCGAGUCCAGCAUGCGUGCCACAUGGAGCAUUCCCAUGGUAACCAGAGGCAACUCUCUGACGUCCGAGUGAUGGAGAGGGGAGCUGCUGGAAAUGGACGUUCAUGAGUGAAGAGGAUCAUGGGUCCUCUUCACUAUAAAUGCAGACGGUGCCCAGCGAUCACUCAGGAUCGCUGGGGCCGUAACAAGUGUUACGGUUGUCACGCCCUAAUGGCGGCCCUGACCACAGCGCAUUAAGAAGCAUUGGAAAGCUGCAGUCAUUCGCAUCUACAACUCAGAGACUUCUCAUGACUGAUAGUUUCCCUGGCAGACAGAAAGCCUGUACCUGGGGAAGAGGGGAGGGCUUGCAAAUGCUGCAGACAGCAGGUUACCCCAAAGAAAACAUGAAAAAUAAAUUAAUGUUUUAUUUAUGGGGGGCAGGGUAGUAAGAGGUUGCUAGUCACUGUUAUUGUGUCUUGGAUAAUGCCAAUGCACACGGCAGCCUAUGCCACACAG
Non-coding RNA from Pelobates cultripes (western spadefoot toad), 621 nucleotides. Lineage: Eukaryota; Metazoa; Chordata; Amphibia; Anura; Pelobatidae. The record is from the annotation of a GenBank genome assembly.